Long non-coding RNA from Drosophila simulans, 941 nucleotides. RefSeq lists it as uncharacterized. The transcript has 2 exons. The record is from RefSeq and is a predicted model, not a curated record. Lineage: Eukaryota; Metazoa; Arthropoda; Insecta; Diptera; Drosophilidae.
AAUAAAAAAAUUUUUAGUUUCUUUAUAUUUAGGAUAGUCUAAUUAGAUAAAAAAAAGUCGAUUUUUACUUUUUUAUGCAACACUGGCUUAUUGCCCACCUCUCAAAGAGAGCUGAUUGUCGAUAACAUGCGUAAGACAAAAUUGGCGGCAAAUCAUUGUGCAACAUUUGUGGUUAAUAUUUCCUCAGAGAAUUAAAAAGUUUAAGCUGGUGUCAUGGAAAACAGUAGGCCAGUCAACUUAACAAUUGUAGCUGUGUUUCGUGGAAUAUAACUUUUGUAUGGCAAACCACUUCAAAAGAAUUUUAACGGCAAGUUAUUAACUAACAUGUGUAUAAUAUUAUACAACUAGUUUCAUAUGCACCUUUUUGUUCCUUUUUGAAAAAAUUACGUUUUUGUAGAUGAAUACUUGUUUGGGCAUGCAGAGCUGCUUGACAUUUGGAGCAACAAUAGUCGCUCUGAGGAUGCAGUUAGGCAGCAUAUAUUUAAAAAAAUUGGUCAGAAUAAUUUAAAUGAAUGUUGUAUUUCACUGAUAAAUAAAAAAGUUAAGUCCUUCUUUGAUUACAUAAGGAAACAUUUGCCAGGUUGCAAUAGAUUAUAGGUUGUAAGUAUAAUAGCAUAACAAUGACAUAUGAUAAAUUUAUUUUUAAAUUUCAUGACAAACUGUUUUGGACCAUCAUAUACAUCUUAAUAUGAUUUUAUUUUAUUUGAUUUUCUGUAUAUAAUAUCAUAAUAUAAUAUAAUUAAAAAUAGAUACAAAUUUUUUUUUUUUGGUAAUGUAAAUAUUUUUAUGGCAUAUCGGCCAGAUCGUUUAUAUGGCAGCUAUAUGAAAGUUGACCAAAUCACUUGAAACUUUGUGAAUCAUCUUGGGGGAAGUAAAGAGUAACACAAACCAAAUUUGGUGAAGAUAGGUCAUCAUUUCGAAUUUCUGCCAAAAAAAACGCA